Molecule: non-coding RNA, 1393 nt
Organism: Urocitellus parryii (Arctic ground squirrel)
Lineage: Eukaryota; Metazoa; Chordata; Mammalia; Rodentia; Sciuridae
Source: RefSeq, a predicted model, not a curated record
UGAAAAGCUGAGAAAACUGCUUGGUGAGGAGUCCUGGAGAUCCUGGUGACCAGGCCAACUGAACUCUGUUCUGCUCAGCCCACUGUCUGUGCUCCCUGGAAAGGAGAAUCUUGAAGCAGAACCCAUUCUCAAUCAGAGGACAUGAUGCAGAGGACAGAGGGCUGAUGGGGAGUUGGACAAAGAGUGGCAGAGGAAAGCAGCGAGCCACCAAGUGGGGAGCAGGAAGAACUGCAAAAUUUCAUUGUCUUGCUAAUGAGGACUCCUACAGUUUGCAAGCUGCCUGUCUAUACUGUUGCAUCUCAAGCACCUACCUUGGAGUAAAAGUAUCGGCACACGGCCUCCUGAGCCCAAGGCUGGAAAUAGAACUCAGCUCGGCGCUCCUCCUCUGGGUUACCCACCACAUCAGUCAUGGUCUGAGAGAAAGGCAGGGGAAAGGAGAGAAGAGACUUGCUUUCUGCCUUUACACCUCCUACUGGUCCAACUGUAUCCCCCCAAAAGAUGCUGAAAUCCUAAUCCCCCAGUACCUGUGAAUGUGACCUCGUUUGGAAAUAGGGUCUCUGCAGAUGAUAAAGUUAAGAUGAGGUCAUUAGGUUGGCCCUAAUCCAAUAUGACUGGUAUCUUUACAAAGGGGAAAUUUGGACAUAGAGACAAAACAGGUACAGAAGGAAGAUGAUGUGAAGACACACAGAGAAAACCAGCUAUAACCCCAGGGAUGCCUGAGGCCACCAGAAACUAGGAGAGAGGCCUGAAACACAUUCUCCUUACGGCCCUCAGAGGAACCAACCUUCUUGAUCUUGAUCUCAGACUUUCAGCCUCCACAACUGUGAGUUUUCUGUUGUUUAAGCACCCAGUUUGUGUUAGUUUGCUGUUGUAGUCCCAGUGAACUAAUGUAAAACCUAGUAGCCUCCUGUUAUCCACAAGUCAUUGCCUUGUCUAGAAACCUGCCUGGUGCUCUUUCCCCCUGCUCCUCUGUGCAUCCUUCCUAACUGCAGUCACAGCAGUGGCAGGCUGGGUGAAAACUUAGGUGGAUUUCACACAUUCUAUGUCCGUGCGUAUCUUCUUGCCUUAGUGUUCUCCUCUCUGAGAAAUAUCUUCAAGUCCCAAAUUUUCCAUGAAGCCUUACCCAGUGACUCUAGCCUUAUUUUGAAUUAUUUUACUGGUGAGUUCUGAUAAUGUACUAUAUGGCAUACUAUUUUUAAUCAUAUUAGCUUUGUUUUUCCAAAUAAAAUGGAUGUUGCAGAAAUCAGGUCUUCCAUUUUGCAUCCCUGACAAUAUGAAGCACAAUGACAGCACUGAAUAAAUAGUAACUUGACACUCAAUGUCCCAACUCAACUGAAAAUGGGAUAUAUUGAAGAAAAAUUGGCUCCUCAAUUCUCCCUGAUCCUUUACUAAG